GCUUGCACAGGUGCUGCAUGGCUGUCGUCAGCUCGUGUCGUGAGAUGUUCGGUUAAGUCCGCUAACGAGCGCAACCCUCGCUGUGUGUUAUAUGUGUCGACACGGGACUGCCGGUCUUAAGCCGGAGGAAGUGGGAUGAUGGUCAAGUCAGCAUGGCCUUUAUAUCCUGGGCUACACACACGCUACAAUGGCCAAACACAAUAGGUUGCUAAGCCGCGAGGUGGCGCCAAUCCAUAAAGUUGGUCUCAGUUCAGAUUGUAGGCUGCAACCCGCCUGCAUGAAGAUGGAGUUGCUAGUAACCGCAGGUCAGCUAUACUGCGGUGAAUACGUUCCCGGGGCUU
Molecule: ribosomal RNA, 341 nt
Filed under: uncultured Leptolinea sp.
Lineage: Bacteria; Bacillati; Chloroflexota; Anaerolineae; Anaerolineales; Anaerolineaceae
Description: bacterial SSU rRNA
Rfam family: Bacterial small subunit ribosomal RNA
Source: RNAcentral